Molecule: ribosomal RNA, 253 nt
Filed under: uncultured bacterium
Lineage: Bacteria
Description: partial 16S ribosomal RNA
Rfam family: Bacterial small subunit ribosomal RNA
Source: RNAcentral
UACAGAGAUGGCAAGCGUUGUUCGGAUUUACUGGGCGUAAAGGGUGCGUAGGCGGCAGGGUAUGUCGGAUGUGAAAUCUCACGGCUCAACCGUGAACAUGCAUUCGAAACUGCCCCGCUAGAGUACUGGAGAGGAGAGCGGAAUUCUUGGUGUAGCGGUGAAAUGCGUAGAUAUCAAGAAGAACGCCGGCGGCGAAGGCGGCUCUCUGGACAGAUACUGACGCUGAGGCACGAAAGCUGGGGGAGCGAACAGG